RNAcentral lists this ribosomal RNA (409 nucleotides) under Bacillota bacterium. RNAcentral's name for it is "Firmicutes bacterium partial 16S ribosomal RNA". It matches the Rfam family "Bacterial small subunit ribosomal RNA", at positions 355 to 776 of the family's 1533-position model. The record is from RNAcentral. Lineage: Bacteria; Bacillati; Bacillota.
UGGGGAAUAUUGCACAAUGGGCGAAAGCCUGAUGCAGCGACGCCGCGUGAGGGAUGACGGCCUUCGGGUUGUAAACCUCUUUCAGCAGGGACGAAGCGCAAGUGACGGUACCUGCAGAAGAAGCACCGGCUAACUACGUGCCAGCAGCCGCGGUAAUACGUAGGGUGCAAGCGUUGUCCGGAAUUACUGGGCGUAAAGAGUUCGUAGGCGGUUUGUCGCGUCGUUUGUGAAAACCAGCAGCUCAACUGCUGGCUUGCAGGCGAUACGGGCAGACUUGAGUACUGCAGGGGGGACUGGAAUUCCUGGUGUAGCGGUGAAAUGCGCAGAUAUCAGGAGGAACACCGGUGGCGAAGGCGGGUCUCUGGGCAGUAACUGAAGCUGAGGAACGAAAGCGUGGGUAGCGAACAGG